ACCGGGAUUGCCUUAGUAACGGCGAGUGAAGCGGCAAAAGCUCAAAUUUGAAAUCUGGUACCUUUGGUGCCCGAGUUGUAAUUUGGAGAGGGCAACUUUGGGACCGUUCCUUGUCUAUGUUCCUUGGAACAGGACGUCAUAGAGGGUGAGAAUCCCGUGUGGCGAGGAGUGCGGUUCUAUGUAAAGUGCCUUCGAAGAGUCGAGUUGUUUGGGAAUGCAGCUCUAAGUGGGUGGUAAAUUCCAUCUAAAGCUAAAUAUUGGCGAGAGACCGAUAGCGAACAAGUACAGUGAUGGAAAGAUGAAAAGAACUUUGAAAAGAGAGUGAAAAAGUACGUGAAAUUGUUGAAAGGGAAGGGCAUUUGAUCAGACAUGGUGUUUUGCGCCCUCUGCUCCUUGUGGGUGGGGGAAUCUCGCAGUUCACUGGGCCAGCAUCAGUUUUGGUGGCAGGAUAAAUCCGUAGGAAUGUAACUUGCUUCGGGAAGUAUUAUAGCCUAUGGGAAUACUGCCAGCUGGGACUGAGGACUGCGACGUAAGUCAAGGAUGC
This 544-nucleotide ribosomal RNA is filed under the name Saccharomyces x bayanus. Its description in RNAcentral is "LSU rRNA". It matches the Rfam family "Eukaryotic large subunit ribosomal RNA", at positions 68 to 626 of the family's 3401-position model. The record is from RNAcentral. Lineage: Eukaryota; Fungi; Ascomycota; Saccharomycetes; Saccharomycetales; Saccharomycetaceae.